CCGGCCGUAGCUCAGCGGUAGAGCGCCCGGCUGUAGACCGGGUGGUCCGGGGUUCGAUUCCCCGCGGCCGGACCA
This 75-nucleotide transfer RNA is filed under the name Thermodiscus sp. RNAcentral describes it as "tRNA-Tyr". It matches the Rfam family "tRNA". Rfam says of the family: Transfer RNA (tRNA) molecules are approximately 80 nucleotides in length. Their secondary structure includes four short double-helical elements and three loops (D, anti-codon, and T loops). RNAcentral also lists the same sequence under 1 other name. Lineage: Archaea; Thermoproteati; Thermoproteota; Thermoprotei; Acidilobales; Acidilobaceae. The record is from RNAcentral.